This is a long non-coding RNA of Oryctolagus cuniculus (rabbit), 4184 nucleotides long. RefSeq lists it as uncharacterized. The record is from RefSeq and is a predicted model, not a curated record. Lineage: Eukaryota; Metazoa; Chordata; Mammalia; Lagomorpha; Leporidae.
CUGUUUCAGGCUGCCGGGGAAAUUGCUUCAGGAAUUGCCUCCCCACAAGCACGCCUGCAAUUUCUGCAGAGCGCCCUCGCCUGACCACCCCAUCCGCUUCCCCUGCUGGGUGGAGAAGAGACCCCAACCGUGAGGCCAGAAGGUGCUGACUGUCCAGGGGUGGCGCUGGAGACAGGGCUAAGAUGAGCGUCUCUGCACAUCAAACAGCAGACUCAUGAGAGUGAUCGUCUGAUUUGAUGCCUUAGACGAGUGGAGGAAGACGGCUCAAGGAACCAAGGAGGCUUUUCCAAGGAGGUUUCUUCUGGCAGUGGGAAGUAAAUAGAUUUUUAGAGGAUGGAGGAAAAUUAAAAGAGCAAAAGUCCAAAACUGUGGUGAAAUUUUUAAAAACUUUAUUUGAAUCGUAAAGACACACACACGCGCACGCACGCACGCACAGAUCUCCCACAGCUGAGGCUGGGCCAGGCUGAAUCUAGGAGCCCAGAACUCAAUCCAGGUCUCCCACGUGGGUGGCAGGGAGCCGAGUACUUGAGCCGUCGUCACCUGCUGCCUCCCAGGAUUUGUUUUAGCAGAAAGCUGGAAGGAGGGGUUGAGCAGGGUCUCAGAUCCAGGCACUCGGACCCACGCCAAGUGUGGGUGUCCCAUGGAGUAGCGUAAGCACACGCUCAAGGGUUCGAGUCCAAACUGCCUUGCGGUCAUUGAUCUGAGGCCCCGCCCAGGGAGACGGGUGGGUGGAGAUGCAAGCAGAAGCUUGAAAUCCCAGGGACCACCCUUGCGGAAAUGCCGCCAAGCCCCUUUCAGUCCUGCUGGGGUCGACUGCCCAGCUCCCGCCUGUGCAGACUGGACUGCCGGAGCCCGCCCCUCCCCCUCCUCGGGGCGUGGCCUCUCGCUGGUUUCUGCAAAUCCAACAGGGCACAGAAAGUAGGAACAGCGUGCGUUUCCUUGUCAGAUAGGGGGCGGGGAGGGGCGGGGUCUGAGCCCCUUCUAUCUUCCUGAUUGGUCUGGAGCCUAAGGCGUUCGGAUAAGAUUAAUGAGGAGAGUAUGACGCAUGCUGUAAAGGCUUCAGUGACGGAGUUUUGUGACUGGUGGUGUUGUUAUUUGCAGUUCUGAUUAAACGCGGAGAGGAGGGGGCGCAGUCAUUGUGGCACAGUGAGUUGAGGCCACUCAGCUUCUGAUCCAGCUUCCUGCUGAUGGGCACCCUUGGGAGACAGUGGAUAACGGGUCCAAGUACUUGAACCUCUGCCACCCACAUGGGAGAACCUGGAUGGUGUUCAGGGCUCCUGGCUUUGACCUGGCCCAGACCUGGCUGCUGUGGGUAUUUGGGGAGUGAACCAGCAGAUGGAAGAUGUCUCUCUCUCUCUCUCUCUUUCUCUCCCUCUCCCUCUCUCAGUCUAUCACUCUGCCCUUCAAAUAAAUAAAUCUUUUAAAAAAAUGCUGUAGGGUUGGUGUUGUGGUGCAGCAAGUAAAGCCACCACUUAUGACCCCAGCAUCCGAUAUCGGAGCGCUGGUUCUAGUCCCGGCUGCUCCACUUCCGAUGCAGCUCCCUGUUAAUGCACCUGGGAAGGCAGCAGAAGAUGGCCCAGGUGCUUGGGCUCCUGCCACCCACAUGGGAGACCCGGAUGGAGUUCCCAGCUCCUGGUUUCAGCCUGGCUAUUUCAGGAGUGAACCAGCAGAUGGCAGAUCUCUGUCUCUUAGAUGAAAAUAUUUUAAAAUUGUAUUUGAAUGGCAAAGAUACACACACACACACAGAUCUGUUGUUCUGCCUUUCAAAUACAAUUUUAAAAGGAGAGCUGCCGCGAGGAGAUAAGCACAGGUAUUCCACGAGUCCUAUCAAGGAUGCUUGCACCAACGAGGGUAAUCAGAGCAAGCUUCCUACAGGAAGGAAGCCCCAGCAGAUCCUGAGUGGAGAGAAGAAAGGCCCCAGGGUCUGUCUUUUUUGGCAGCUGGACUUCUUUGGGAAAAAAAGAGAAAAAAACCAUAUUCUAUUGCCAGGUGACUUCCAAAGCCUGCUGAACCUUAGUGUCCCCAGGGAGUGGGGGUGGCAGGUUCCACCGGAUCCCAGAGGCACCAGCCCAGGGGGAGCUGCCUUUUAAUUCCACCUGCAGCCCCUGGCUUAGAGCAGGCUCUCCAUCUGCCCAUUAGACCCAAGGAUGCCUGCUCUUCUGGUCCAUGGACUGUGCUGUGAAAGAAGUUGGGACUCGGGGCCCAGGUGCAGCCUCCAGUCUUAGUGACUCCACGUCAAUCUCUCGCCCUCUCUGGAAUUCAGUUUCCUUAUCUGCACAUCAAGGGCGCUGACCUGGACAGGGGUCAGGGUGAGCCGAGGGGAAGGCAGAGUCCGGCCCAGCCGUGGGAAUGGGCUGGGAAUGGGCCCUCGUGUUCUCAGGUCUCCCGAUUUUUCAUGAGAGUCUAGGUAUGCGGCUCCCAUUUUCACAUGUUUGACGACCCGUCCAAAAUGUCCACUAAGCAUUGCGUGGGCCCAACGAAGCAGGCCAGUGAACCAGAGUGAACCUCCAGCCAGCUCCCAGUGCCUCAUCCCUGGCCUGGCUGCUCUCAGAGGAGCGCUCUCUCACUCACUCACAUUGCCAUUGUAAUGUGCCUGCAAAUUGUUCCCACGAUUGCCUGGUCAGCCCUUCUCUGCAGCUGUGCUGCGAUCCAGCGCUUGACCCCGGGCAGCGGGGUUGAGCCGCCAGGCCCGCUAUAGGGGUGCUUCCCCAAUCCCCAGGAGCCCCAGGAACUCAGAGUUUUCUCAGAAAGGCUUAGAAACCCCAGCAGGCUCAUCUGACCAUCCCAGACCCAGGGUGAGACACACACACACACACACACACACACACACCAAUCAAUCGAUAGAUCAAUCAAUCAAUCAAACCUGCUGUGAAUCAGAACUUGGAUUCGCAGGAAGUCAUCCUCCACCUCACCUUCGGUAUGAUGGAGUUGAUGUCCUCACUCCCAGCCCCAAUUCCUGCAAAACCACAGUGGUUCCUGGUGAGCCCUUAGGAGCCACCCAGGCCUGGGUUCCAGCCCGGGGCUUUGACACUCUCCAGCUCGAUUUUAGGCCUCUCUCUAGACAGGUGACUCCCUUGGAACCUAGUUGGACACCCUUUAAAAAUCCCCCCCUUUCCUGGCUCAGGCAGUUGGGACGAUGGUUAAGAUGUCGCCCGGGACACCUGCAUCCCAUAGGGGUGUGUGCCUGGAUCGGGUCCCGGCUCCUCUGCUUCCCCCAUGACUUCUCCUGUUGCUACGCAUCCUGGGAGGCCCAAGCACUUGGAUCUCUGCCACUCACAUGCCUAUUUUUUUUCCAACAGUUUGUUGUAGAACCCCUCAAAUCCUUAGCCCACGUGUUGUCCUGCAGCAGGCCUAUCACUGACACGUGGGUGGCGGAAGAAAGUAGGCGCUCAUUUUGCAAUGUGCAGGGCAAGAAGCCAGGCGGCUGUUGCUCAAUCUCUGGACUCCUCAGGGAUUAAGCGCAGUGAAUCUUGUAGAUUAAAGUCAGGGCUGAGCCGUGCGCUGGUCUCUGGUUAAGGCACCGUGCUCCUGGCCUGCCUUUGGUUGGUCAGUGACAGGAGGCCGGCACGCUCAUCCGAGAACGUUGUGAUGGCAAAGCAGGCUCCAGUCUGCCUUGGGGGGUGGGGUGAGCGGUCUAUGAGUAGAUGAUUAAACCAGAACCUGGGGUUCCUGUGAAGCAUCUCAACUUGGAGACUGGUGCUAAGACGUUCCCAGCUGUGGGGCUCCAUGGGAUGUGCAGCCAUGGAGCCCCCACGUCAAGGUCGGUCUGAUAGCUGUUGCUGUGUCUUUAUCACAAGGCGGAUGUUGCUAGUUUCAGUUAGGGCAAUGCUUUCCCACGGCCGGGACUUUCCAGAGGAGUUGAGAAUGUUGUAAACAACAAGAUGGCACCAAGGACCGUGUGGUGAGCCUGCCUGCUGCGUGACACCUCAUCUGAUUGGCCCGAGGAUGCGUGCACACUGCGUGAACAGACAGCGGAUUGGAGUGUUCCGUGCAUGGACUUGAGCCCGCUUGCAAUUGGCCAGAUUUUGUAUAUACGCUGUGUGCUGAGGAAGGAGGGGGCUUUCCUGUCCACUCUCCUCCUUUCAUUCUUUCUCUGUCCCUGUUAUUUUCCCAUUAAAAGUCUGCUGAAGACCGAUAAGCUGCGAACAGUGUCGUUCCUUUGCGGGCAAGGGAGCGGCACCCAG